RNAcentral lists this ribosomal RNA (253 nucleotides) under uncultured bacterium. RNAcentral describes it as "partial 16S ribosomal RNA". It matches the Rfam family "Bacterial small subunit ribosomal RNA", at positions 524 to 776 of the family's 1533-position model. The record is from RNAcentral.
GACGUAGGGGGCGAGCGUUGUCCGGAUUCAUUGGGCGUAAAGCGCGCGUAGGCGGCAGGGCAAGUCGGCCGUGAAAUCUCCCAGCUUAACUGGGAGGGGUCGGGCGAGACUGCCCCGCUAGAGGCGGGUAGAGGGCAGUGGAAUUCCGGGUGUAGCGGUGGAAUGCGUAGAGAUCCGGAAGAACACCGGUGGCGAAGGCGGUCUGCUGGGGUAAUGCUGACACUGAGGCGCGACAGCGUGGGGAGCAAACAGG